UACGUAGGGGGCUAGCGUUGUCCGGAAUUAUUGGGCGUAAAGAGCUCGUAGGCGGUGUGUCGCGUCGGCCGUGAAAACCUGCAGCUCAACUGUGGGCUUGCGGUCGAUACGGGCAUCACUGGAGUUCGGCAGGGGAGACUGGAAUUCCUGGUGUAGCGGUGAAAUGCGCAGAUAUCAGGAGGAACACCGGUGGCGAAGGCGGGUCUCUGGGCCGAUACUGACGCUGAGGAGCGAAAGCGUGGGGAGCAAACAGG
RNAcentral lists this ribosomal RNA (254 nucleotides) under uncultured bacterium. RNAcentral describes it as "partial 16S ribosomal RNA". It matches the Rfam family "Bacterial small subunit ribosomal RNA", at positions 524 to 776 of the family's 1533-position model. The record is from RNAcentral.